This 774-nucleotide ribosomal RNA is filed under the name Acinetobacter calcoaceticus. RNAcentral describes it as "bacterial SSU rRNA". It matches the Rfam family "Bacterial small subunit ribosomal RNA", at positions 73 to 842 of the family's 1533-position model. The record is from RNAcentral. Lineage: Bacteria; Pseudomonadati; Pseudomonadota; Gammaproteobacteria; Moraxellales; Moraxellaceae.
AGGUAGCUUGCUACUGAUCUUAACGGCGGANGGGUCCCUUUUGNUUAGGAAUCUGCCUAUUAGUGGGGGACAACAUUNCNNAAGGAAUGCUAAUACCGCAUACGUCCUACGGGAGAAAGCAGGGGAUCUUCGGACCUUGCGCUAAUAGAUGAGCCUAAGUCGGAUUAGCUAGUUGGUGGGGUAAAGGCCUACCAAGGCGACGAUCUGUAGCGGGUCUGAGAGGAUGAUCCGCCACACUGGGACUGAGACACGGCCCAGACUCCUACGGGAGGCAGCAGUGGGGAAUAUUGGACAAUGGGCGGAAGCCUGAUCCAGCCAUGCCGCGUGUGUGAAGAAGGCCUUAUGGUUGUAAAGCACUUUAAGCGAGGAGGAGGCUACUUUAGUUAAUACCUAGAGAUAGUGGACGUUACUCGCAGAAUAAGCACCGGCUAACUCUGUGCCAGCAGCCGCGGUAAUACAGAGGGUGCAAGCGUUAAUCGGAUUUACUGGGCGUAAAGCGCGCGUAGGCGGCUAAUUAAGUCAAAUGUGAAAUCCCCGAGCUUAACUUGGGAAUUGCAUUCGAUACUGGUUAGCUAGAGUGUGGGAGAGGAUGGUANAAUUCCAGGUGUAGCGGUGAAAUGCGUAGAGAUCUGGAGGAAUACCGAUGGCGAAGGCAGCCAUCUGGCCUAACACUGACGCUGAGGUGCGAAAGCAUGGGGAGCAAACAGGAUUAGAUACCCUGGUAGUCCAUGCCGUAAACGAUGUCUACUAGCCGUUGGGGCCUUUGAGGCUUUA